UUAAGUGAAUAAGGGCGCACGGUGGAUGCCUUGGCACUAGGAGCCGAUGAAGGACGGGACUAACACCGAUAUGCUUCGGGGAGCUGUAAGUAAGCUUUGAUCCGGAGAUUUCCGAAUGGGGGAACCCAGCAUCUUUUGUAGGAUGUUACCUUUAAGUGAAUUCAUAGCUUAUUGGAGGUAGACGCAGAGAACUGAAACAUCUAAGUACCUGCAGGAAGAGAAAGAAAAUUCGAUUCCCUGAGUAGCGGCGAGCGAAACGGGAACAGCCCAAACCAACAAGCUUGCUUGUUGGGGUUGUAGGACUCAAAUGUGGUAGUAAGCAAGAUAGCCGAAUGACUUGGAAAAGUCAGCCAAAGUGGGUGAAAGCCCCGUAGGCAAAAUUUUGUGAGCACCUAUGAGGAUCCUGAGUACGGCGGAACACGAGAAAUUCCGUCGGAAUCUAGGAGGACCAUCUCCUAAGGCUAAAUACUCCCUAGUGACCGAUAGCGAACCAGUACCGUGAGGGAAAGGUGAAAAGCACCCCGGGAGGGGAGUGAAAUAGAACCUGAAACCGUGUGCCUACAACAAGUUAGAGCCCGUUAAUGGGUGAUAGCGUGCCUUUUGUAGAAUGAACCGGCGAGUUACGAUUGCAUGCGAGGUUAAGUUGAAGAGACGGAGCCGUAGCGAAAGCGAGUCUGAAUAGGGCGAUAGAGUAUGUAGUCGUAGACCCGAAACCAUGUGAUCUACCCAUGUCCAGGUUGAAGGUGCGGUAAAACGCACUGGAGGACCGAACCAGGACACGUUGAAAAGUGUUUGGAUGAGGUGUGGGUAGCGGAGAAAUUCCAAACGAACUUGGAGAUAGCUGGUUCUCUCCGAAAUAGCUUUAGGGCUAGCCUCGGAAGUAAGAAUGAUGGAGGUAGAGCACUGUUUGGACUAGGGGCCCAUCUCGGGUUACCGAAUUCAGAUAAACUCCGAAUGCCAUUCAUUUAUAUCCGGGAGUCAGACUGCGAGUGAUAAGAUCCGUAGUCGAAAGGGAAACAGCCCAGACCACCAGCUAAGGUCCCCAAAUGUAUGUUAAGUGGAAAAGGAUGUGGGGUUGCACAGACAACUAGGAUGUUGGCUUAGAAGCAGCCACCAUUUAAAGAGUGCGUAAUAGCUCACUAGUCGAGUGACCCUGCGCCGAAAAUGUACCGGGGCUAAACAUACUACCGAAGCUGUGGAUUGUACUUACGUACAAUGGUAGGAGAGCGUUCUAAGGGCGUUGAAGGUAGAUCGUGAGGACUGCUGGAGCGCUUAGAAGUGAGAAUGCCGGUAUGAGUAGCGAAAGACAGGUGAGAAUCCUGUCCACCGAAUAACUAAGGUUUCCUGGGGAAGGCUCGUCCGCCCAGGGUUAGUCGGGACCUAAGCCGAGGCCGACAGGCGUAGGCGAUGGACAACAGGUUGAUAUUCCUGUACUCGUUGUUUUCGUUUGAGCAAUGGAGGGACGCAGGAGGCUAGGAAAAGCAGACGAAUGGAAAUGUCUGUCUAAGCAGUGAGUUUUGUGAUGAGUCAAAUGCUUGUCACUAUAAGAAUGAGCUGUGAUGGGGAGGUUGAUCUUGAAUCGACCGAGUUUCUGAUGUCACACUGUCAAGAAAAGCUUCU
This 1620-nucleotide ribosomal RNA is filed under the name Enterococcus cecorum. RNAcentral describes it as "23S ribosomal RNA (partial)". It matches the Rfam family "Bacterial large subunit ribosomal RNA", at positions 1 to 1622 of the family's 2925-position model. The record is from RNAcentral. Lineage: Bacteria; Bacillati; Bacillota; Bacilli; Lactobacillales; Enterococcaceae.